Adelges cooleyi (spruce gall adelgid) is the source of this 996-nucleotide long non-coding RNA. RefSeq lists it as uncharacterized. The record is from RefSeq and is a predicted model, not a curated record. The transcript has 4 exons. Lineage: Eukaryota; Metazoa; Arthropoda; Insecta; Hemiptera; Adelgidae.
GUUUAAAAACAUAAUUUUGUAGGUAUAUCAUCUUUGUGCUUGUGUAAAAUGAAGAAGACGGCAUUUUUGAAUGGUUAGAAUUAACUAAUCAGAACAAGCUAGUCAGUGCAUUUCCAUCAAACAAAGAUGACAAGAUUAUUUAGCUCCACCAAGUCCUGGAAGAAGUAUCCAGUAACUUUUCGAGGAUGAACAGAUUCAUAUAAAUCAGUUUUAAAAGGAAACUACUUAAAAAAAAUCCUUAUGUACUUUCGACUUUAGAUGAUUUACAUCCAGAAACUAAAAUAAAAGAAGUGAACAAGUAUAAUAAACAAAAAAAAACGAAGUUGAAAGGCUUUUAAAUGAGAUUCAGAUGAAAAAACAUUAAAAGAGAAAUAAGAUGUCCUAAAAAGGUUUACUUAAUCUGUUGACAUAAAUCGAAUUUUCCAUCAGCUUCGUCGACAACAGAAGACAAUAUUAAACUAGUGCCGAGUACAGGAAACCGAAGACAUCAAUAGAUCAUAAUAUAUACAGUCUAUAAUGAUUACUGUGUCUUAGACCGCUCGAGAAAAAAAUCAAUUACUUAAACGAUUUUUUAAGUAAUAUGAGGACAAAUUCUUCCACAAAUACCACUAAUGUAACUCCAGUUGAUUUCAUGUACUAUUGGAAAAUCAUUUAUGUGAUACCCAAGAAAAGUUUCUAGCCUUAGAAUCAUGCCUGAGAAAUGAACUGGAAUUUAACAAAUUAAUUCUGAUGCUUUUAUUAAUGAAUCUAAAAGUUCAGGAAAAAAUACACCAAAAGAUAGCGAGUUUAAGACAGCAUUAAGUAAUGCAUUUAAUCGUUCUAAAAACAUAUCUUGGCGAUGGAAAUGGUCGCCAGAAAAAGGAAAGCUUAACAAUUACUCAACAUGUUGUUCCUAAGAAAUGAACUUUUUUUUGAUAAUUCUAUUGUUAAUCAAUACUUAAGAUUUUUUUUUUUAUACUUCUUCUCAAUUUUUUCCCAUGCUCAUGUAUUGUUUUU